Non-coding RNA from Paramuricea clavata, 540 nucleotides. NCBI's taxonomy places the organism in Eukaryota, Metazoa, Cnidaria, Anthozoa, Malacalcyonacea, Plexauridae. The record is from the annotation of a GenBank genome assembly.
CCCAACAACUAUUGCGUAACGCAUACAGUUAAUUUUGUAAUGAAGUAUUGCAAUCUCUUCAGAGAACACAAGCAGUUGGUCAUUUUCAUUGCAAAAUUUGUCCCUCCAAAAAAUCCUGAUUCUUUCUCCACGCCCCCUGCAGGAAGGUUUGAUUCCACGACGGCGAAGUUCUUCACGAGAAAUUGUCUGCGAAAUACCUAGCCCGUGGAAUCAGGCCUUAACGCACACUGACCGCAAUGUAUAUCCAGUGUAAUGAAUAUAACUGGAACGCCACCUUCAGAUAAACUGCUUAUUUUUUUCUUGAAGCCAAAUCUGACAUCCCCCCUCCCCCCGUCAGACAGGCGUGUCUGGGGGACAAGACCCGCGUGGUCCACAGAGUACAUUUGAUACAGAGGGCAGAUUCAGCCAAAAAGAGUGUUAAAAAGUGCCCAGUGUUAAAAAGUGCCCAGUGUUAAAAAGUGCCCACAUUAAGAAAUGAACCAAAUGACUAAAAAGACCACCUCAAAAUUAGUAAGUAUACAAAGUUUGAAGACGUUGGCA